This 440-nucleotide ribosomal RNA is filed under the name uncultured bacterium. RNAcentral describes it as "partial 16S ribosomal RNA". It matches the Rfam family "Bacterial small subunit ribosomal RNA", at positions 338 to 795 of the family's 1533-position model. The record is from RNAcentral.
CCUACGGGUGGCAGCAGUGGGGGAUAUUGCACAAUGGGGGAAACCCUGAUGCAGCGACGCCGCGUGUGGGAAGACGGUCUUCUGGAUUGUAAACCACUGUCCCCAGGGACGAAAAUGACGGUACCUGGGGAGGAAGCUCCGGCUAACUACGUGCCAGCAGCCGCGGUAAUACGUAGGGAGCAAGGGUUGUCCGGAAUUACUGGGUGUAAGGGGAGCGUAGGCGGUGAUGAAAGUUGGGUGUCAAAACUACCGGCUCAACCGAUAGUCGCACUCAAAACUGCAGCUCUUGAGUGAAGUAGAGGCAGGCGGAAUUCGUAGUGUAGCGGUGAAAUGCGUAGAGAUUAGGAGGAACACCAGUUGCGAAGGCGGCCUGCUGGGCUUUUACUGACGCUGAGGCUCGAAAGUGUGGGGAGCAAACAGGAUUAGAUACCCUUGUAGUC